This 1741-nucleotide long non-coding RNA is filed under the name Ficedula albicollis (Collared flycatcher). Its description in RNAcentral is "lncRNA (ENSFALG00000026820.1)". Lineage: Eukaryota; Metazoa; Chordata; Aves; Passeriformes; Muscicapidae. The record is from RNAcentral.
ACAGCCUGACCCUUCCAGGACUGUGUGUUUGGGGGGAGCACAGUUCCAGCCCAGCCCCACAUCCUGCAUCCCAGCAAUGCUGGGACACCCCAGCUCCACUCUACCCACCCUGGCGAUGCCCGUGCCCCACCAGCACAGGCACAGCAGCCUGAGCGUGGACUGGAGGCUGGCAGAGGUUUAGCAGGGUUUCCAGCUGUGUUUGAGGCUCUGGUUUCUUCCCCUUUUCUUUCUGGCCGGCGCAGGUGGGCUCUGUGUCAUUGCUCAGGGUUUUGCCAAGCUGCCCCUUGUUCAGGGCCAGGGGACACGGAGAGCAGCCACUUCUGGGGAGUGUCCCAGGGCAGCGAGUCAAAACAAGAGGGUUUCAGGGCCAGCCAGGAAAAUCCCACCCAGCCGCGUCCCCGUGUCCCCGUGUCACCCUCUGGGAGGGUUUUCUCAGCCAGGAAACACAGAGCACCUGCCCGGGCAGCUGCAGGGGCCCCAUGCCAGGGAAUGGCCCGGUGUGGGGGAGACCCCCGAGCUGUGUCCCGAGUGCAGGGAACCCCCGGGGAGCCGGGUCUGGCUCGGAGGAGGGGGAACCCCUGGGAUCAGAGCUCUGACUCACCGAGGGAGGGAACCCCUGGGAUCCCGGGGUCUGGCUCGGUGAGGGAAAACAUCUGAGGUCUCCUGACACGGAGAGGAAGCGCUGGGGGUGGAGGGCCCACCCUGGCAUGGGGGAACCCCUGGGUUGUGGGGUCUGCCCCGUCACAGGUGACCCGUCCCGCCCACGCUCCCGGAGCUCCCGGCCGGUUUCUCUCUGAGUCAGAGCUGCUCUGGCUGCCAGCAGGAACUUCCCCUGCUAAAGGAGAAGCAGGACGGGCUCCCACCGCCCCCGCACUCACAGCGAGGUGGGGGAAGGAGGGCAGAAAACCCCGGGGGGCGGUCGAGGUCUUGCCGCCUUCACACGUACCGGGGCUGUGCCAGCCCUGUGCUCGGCGGGACACGCCGUGGCACGGCACGGGAUGGCACGGGAUGGCACGGCACGCUUCCCCAGGGCUGGAAAUGCCCCGUGCUCAUGCCUGCAGUGCCCCACUGCCUUCCCCUUGCCAUCUGAAAGCGAUGGGUGGGGGAGCAAGGGGGAAAAGGAAGCGGCAGCAGCAACCGGUGAGCAAAACAUCACCGGCAGCUGCUGGAACCAAACUGAGACCGUCACCUCCAAAAGGGGCUGGGAUGGGGCCACCAACUCAGCCUGGGGUCGGGAUGGGGGUUUUGUACAUCGGUGCUUAAAUCUGCCUCUUCCAGCCCAGGAAAAUGGGGAUGCAGGAGCAAAAGCAGGAGUCGGGAAUGGGAAGGAGAGCGAUGGCCAAGCCUGGGAGAUGGGAGUUCACAGGGAACACAAAGACAAAUUCUUUAAGGGAAAAAAAAAAAAAGGAAAAGCAAAAAAAAAAAAAAAAAGAAAUCAAAGGGAUGUGGAGAGGGAGAUAAGAGGGAAGACAGAGCAGGGAGACGGAGGGAGCGGAGAGGACGCGGCGGAGGGAGGCAGGCGGCGCGGGGAGGCGAGGCGGGAGCCGGGGGAGCUGUCUGGCGCAUCCCUAUCGCCUCUCUCCAUCGCGGGAGCCCAACCUCAACGGCUGUGCGCGGCUGCAGAUUGCGGGGGGACGGGAGCUGGCUGCCGGCUGCGAUUUCCAUAUCAGCGCCCCCCCCCCCCCCCCCCCCCCCCCCCCCCCCCCCCCCCCCCCCCCCCCCCCCCCCCCCCCCCCCCCCC